CUAGAGUUCCCUAAGGGCCUCAACAAGAUACCGGACAUUGCUCACACCCAAGUUACAUUACCAGAAUAGAGAUGAGUGCAGUGUAGAAAUGACAACCUUUAUGUGUCCAAGUUCAAAGGGAGCUCUUAGGUCCCAAGGGAAGACUCACAUAGAGGGGACAUACCUUGAGUCUAGGAAGAUAGUGGAAGUGCAAGAAUAGGGGUUUUAUAACUGAAGAGAGCAAAAGAGAAAGGUAAAGGGUGAUAGGAAAGCAAUAACCAGUAACACAGAGAUGUUAACUCCAUGCAAGGGGUCAAGGAUUGGGGAUUCAUUGCAAAGAGCCUGUGUAAUUGAGCAAAUACCAGCUUUGGGAAUGAGCAACAAUAGAAGAUGUUGGCCUGCCUAUGAGCCAAUAAAAACACACAACAAAUAGAGGAACCACGAAGGUUAUGGUCCCAGAAGGACCAAGUUUGAGUCAUGGACAACAAUGUAUAAUGUUGCCAUGCCCCAUACCAAUCACAGUCAUCAAACAUAUUAGGGAUGGAGAUUUAAGAUGCUCAAACUAUGAUAAAGAGACACUAAUUAAGAACAAAGAAGGCAGAAUGCAACAUGCUUAACAAUAGAAAUCAACUAAAUACAACAGGAGAUAGGCAAGAGGAAAUACACAAUAAAGAAACCUGUUGUCGUUGAUGCUGAAAACUUAAUUAGAAC
This 690-nucleotide long non-coding RNA is filed under the name Nicotiana benthamiana. RNAcentral describes it as "long non-coding RNA (NBEN_LNC036625)". Lineage: Eukaryota; Viridiplantae; Streptophyta; Magnoliopsida; Solanales; Solanaceae. The record is from RNAcentral.